This 513-nucleotide ribosomal RNA is filed under the name uncultured bacterium. Its description in RNAcentral is "partial 16S ribosomal RNA". It matches the Rfam family "Bacterial small subunit ribosomal RNA", at positions 28 to 523 of the family's 1533-position model. The record is from RNAcentral.
GACGAACGCUGGCGGCGUGGAUAAGGCAUGCAAGUUGAGCGCUGAAGGUUGGUACUUGUACCGACUGGAUGAGCAGCGAACGGGUGAGUAACGCGUGGGGAAUCUGCCUUUGAGCGGGGGACAACAUUUGGAAACGAAUGCUAAUACCGCAUAAAAACUUUAAACACAAGUUUUAAGUUUGAAAGAUGCAAUUGCAUCACUCAAAGAUGAUCCCGCGUUGUAUUAGCUAGUUGGUGAGGUAAAGGCUCACCAAGGCGAUGAUACAUAGCCGACCUGAGAGGGUGAUCGGCCACAUUGGGACUGAGACACGGCCCAAACUCCUACGGGAGGCAGCAGUAGGGAAUCUUCGGCAAUGGACGAAAGUCUGACCGAGCAACGCCGCGUGAGUGAAGAAGGUUUUCGGAUCGUAAAACUCUGUUGGUAGAGAAGAACGUUGGUGAGAGUGGAAAGCUCAUCAAGUGACGGUAACUACCCAGAAAGGGACGGCUAACUACGUGCCAGCCGCCGCGGUAA